UAUUGGUGAUGUGGGUAAUUCCCAAGAUAAAACUUAAAUCUCUUCAUGCAUGAUAUAGGUUCUCAUUUGACUUUUGUUUGAAACUUGGGAUCUCACUCCUCAACCU
Molecule: non-coding RNA, 106 nt
Organism: Capsicum annuum
Lineage: Eukaryota; Viridiplantae; Streptophyta; Magnoliopsida; Solanales; Solanaceae
Source: Rfam